CCCGGGAUCCAGGAGCUGUUCCAGGGAUCCAGGAGCCGUUCCCGGGAUCCAGGAGCCGUUCCGGGGCUGUUCCCGGGAUCCAGGGGUUGUUCCCGGCUAUUCCAGGAGCCGUUCCCGGAGCUGUUCCGGGGCAAUUCCCAGGAUCCAGGAGCCGUUCCGGGGCCGUUCCCGGCUAUUCCCGGAGCCGUUCCAGGGAUCCAGGAGCCGUUCCGGGGCUGUUCCCAGGAUUCAGGAGCCGUUCCCAGGAUCCAGGGGUUGUUCCCGGCUAUUCCAGGAGCCGUUCCGGGGCUGUUCCCGGGAUCCAGGAGCCGUUCCCGGGAUCCAGAGGCUGAUCAGGAGCCGUUCCCGGGAUCCAGGAGCCGUUCCCGGCUAUUCCAGGAGCCGUUCCCGGGCUGUUCCCGGGAUCCAGGAGCUAUUCCCGGCUGUUCCCGGAGCCGUUCCGGGGCCGUUCCCGGCUGUUCCCGGAGCCGUUCCGGACUCCGCCGCCGAAGGAAGGCGGCGCGGGCGGAGCCGGAGGCUCUAAUUAAUCUCUGCUCUAAUUAAGCUCUGCUCUAAUGAAUCAGGGAAGCGGGGGCGGGGCUGCGGGGGAAGAUCCGCUCGUUUUUCCUGGAUAAAAGGAAGGAAUCGCCGCCUUUCCCUUGAAAUCCGGGAUGUGACGGGAAAGGCUCUGCCCGCCCCCACCGCGGCAUCCCGGGAUUCCCAGCGGGAUCCGCUCCCUCCCC
This 722-nucleotide long non-coding RNA is filed under the name Parus major (Great Tit). Its description in RNAcentral is "lncRNA (ENSPMJG00000004733.1)". Lineage: Eukaryota; Metazoa; Chordata; Aves; Passeriformes; Paridae. The record is from RNAcentral.